RNAcentral lists this ribosomal RNA (253 nucleotides) under uncultured bacterium. RNAcentral's name for it is "partial 16S ribosomal RNA". It matches the Rfam family "Bacterial small subunit ribosomal RNA", at positions 524 to 776 of the family's 1533-position model. The record is from RNAcentral.
GACGUAGGGCGCGAGCGUUGUCCGGAUUUAUUGGGCGUAAAGAGCUCGUAGGCGGCUUGUCGCGUCGUCCGUGAAAACCCACAGCUCAACUGUGGGCUUGCGGUCGAUACGGGCAGGCUAGAGUUCGGUAGGGGAGACUGGAAUUCCUGGUGUAGCGGUGAAAUGCGCAGAUAUCAGGAGGAACACCGGUGGCGAAGGCGGGUCUCUGGGCCGUAACUGACGCUGAGGAGCGAAAGCAUGGGGAGCGAACAGG